RNAcentral lists this long non-coding RNA (1998 nucleotides) under Homo sapiens (human). RNAcentral describes it as "non-protein coding lnc-HNRNPA3-2:3". The record is from RNAcentral. Lineage: Eukaryota; Metazoa; Chordata; Mammalia; Primates; Hominidae.
AAAGAGUUGUUUGCGAAGGUCGCUGGAGUUCGGACGCUUUGAAACAGUUUAAACAGUUGGAACAAACACACCCGGAGCCCCGGAAAGGCGUUGGUGUAGGAGCUGCGCCUCCCUGAUUUGGAGUUGCAGAACCUUGCCCUGCUUUUAUCUCACUUUACCGCCCGAGAAUGGCGCCAGCCGGGGUGGGGGGGGCUAAAGAUUUGGACCCAGACCGUGCCACUGCCAACUGCCCUCCCGCCCUUGCUCCCUUCCCGGGCUGGGGCCAGUGGGCCCUGCCUAGGGGAGAUGUGGACAGCUCCGGCAGCUCGUGUUCGCAGUCACCCUGAACGCCCUCCUCUGAACUCCCACGUGUCUCCAUUCUCCUAAGCUCAGGUCGUCAAAGGCAAACGGAGAAGCCCCUUUAGGUCGGAGAGUGGUCAGUAUUGCCCACCCAGAGCUGGGAGAAAAACGGGAACCCCAAGAGAACCUCUUCCCACCAAAGCGCAGCCACCACGCCACAGAUGGCGCCCUUCAACAGUGUGUAAUACCACAACAUGCUGUAAUCGUUUACUCUUUACAAAUUUCUUUUUCACGUACUCACAAAAUAGUACAAAUUAAAAAAAGUUACAAAAACGUUUGUAUAGUAUUGGCUCAUUUUAUAAAAACGUGCCUAGAAAAAAAUUGAAGGUUACCAAUAUAUUAAAUGCUGUGGAAUCAACGAUUUUUAUGUUUCUCCUUGUUACUUCCAAGUAUGCUUUAAAUCUGCAGUGCGUAUGUUUUAUGUCUUACAUUAAAAACAAUUAUUUAAAAAUUAAUCAUUGCCCAGAGAAGACUUCAAGUAUUUGAAACGAGGAAUAUUGUGAACUCUUAUAAGGGUUCAAAGAGGAUAGAUAAAUGGUUUAGUUUUGUUUUUUUCUUCCUCUUCUGCAUUUACAAUCUUUCUAACUCUAUACAAGACUGGUUUUCAGUUUCUAGCUUCCUGGAAUUAUUCAAAACCAGGUGAAGUAGAUAAUACUGGCAGUGGUUUUGCUAUUUCAUUCAAAAACCACACACACACCCCUGACUAUAGCAAUCAACGCCCAAAAAGCUGCAGAGCUUACUUUCUCUAGGUUGCAUAAUUUGACACUCCCAGGAUUUAUGUGUAAAUUUGUAUAUUCAGAUAUUCCUUGAGAUAAGUGAAGCCUAAAUUAAUUACUUGUAAUUGAAGCAAGCUUCUUUAACUCCUAUUAAUUCCUUUCAGCUGUUAUGUGAAAACCCUGCAACAUGAUCUGCACAAUGAAAACAAGUUAGGAGAAAACUGUUUGCAAAGGACCUCACAUGAAAGAUGCAGAGACAUAAUAAUAAAAUAACAUUUCUGAGUCCAAGAAAAAGACAAGAGUAAAUUGUUAACAAUUCAAGUUACUUAUUAAAAUUACGACAUCAGAGAAGGUAGACAAUGAGCCUAGUAGGUAGGAGAUACCAGAGUCAUAUGACAUGGUUACUGCUCUAAAGGAGUUUAUAAAGUAUUUGGUAUUUCCUUGUUAAGCCACAAAAUUUCCAUUGAGUUUAGACUGAAUGAAAUAACCUUCACUUUUCCAAUGCUGCAAUUUGCUGAGAGUGUGUUAUUUCAGGCAUCUGCAGAGUACAUAUUUUCAAAGGGAGGGGAGCAAUAUGAUAAGAGUUUGAACUUGUUUAAGAAAAACAAACACUAAGGAAAAGCUGUUUGGCAUUUGGUUUAGCCAAAUAAAGGGAACCCCAUUCUCAAGACCACCCACGUCAAGGAGGUGCCCAAUCUUGGCAGACUCUGGAAUGUGAUUGUCUUCAUAUGAGAGCCUGAGCCCUUGCUUUGCCCUCCAAACCUGCCUAUUGUGUUAGGAGGGCACAGAUAAUGCAUGUUGAGAAGCUCUGGAGGAGCAAGAAAGAACAAGAAAGAGGAGGUGCUGGUUUUUCUCUCCUGUCUUGCUGCCAUGGGAUCCUUUUUUGCUGCCAGGCUCUCCUCGCUACUAUUUGGGAAAAAUACCCUCCAAUUGGUUUUAUGUU